RNAcentral lists this ribosomal RNA (297 nucleotides) under Triticum aestivum (bread wheat). RNAcentral describes it as "partial small subunit ribosomal RNA". It matches the Rfam family "Eukaryotic large subunit ribosomal RNA", at positions 1890 to 2184 of the family's 3401-position model. Lineage: Eukaryota; Viridiplantae; Streptophyta; Magnoliopsida; Poales; Poaceae. The record is from RNAcentral.
AUGGAACAAUGUAGGCAAGGGAAGUCGGCAAAACGGAUCCGUAACUUCGGGAAAAGGAUUGGCUCUGAGGACUGGGCUCGGGGGUCCCGGCCCCGAACCCGUCUGCUGUCGGCGGAUUGCUCGAGCUGCUCACGCGGCGAGAGCGGGUCGCCGCGUGCCGGCCGGGGGACGGACCGGGAAUCGCCCCUUCGGGGGCUUUCCCCGAGCAUGAAACAGUCGACUCAGAACUGGUACGGACAAGGGGAAUCCGACUGUUUAAUUAAAACAAAGCAUUGCGAUGGUCCUCGCGGAUGCUGA